CCUACGGGUGGCAGCAGUGGGGGAUAUUGCACAAUGGGGGAAACCCUGAUGCAGCGAUGCCGCGUGAAUGAAGACGGCCUUCGGGUUGUAAAGUUCUGUCGCAGGGGACGAAAAUGACGGUACCCUGCAAGAAAGCUCCGGCUAACUACGUGCCAGCAGCCGCGGUAAUACGUAGGGAGCAAGCGUUGUCCGGAUUUACUGGGUAUAAAGGGUGCGUAGGCGGCUUUGCAAGUCAGAAGUGAAAUCCAUGGGCUUAACCCAUGAACUGCUUUUGAAACUGCAGAGCUUGAGUGGAGUAGAGGUAGGCGGAAUUCCCGGUGUAGCGGUGAAAUGCGUAGAGAUCGGGAGGAACACCAGUGGCGAAGGCGGCCUACUGGGCUCUAACUGACGCUGAGGCACGAAAGCGUGGGUAGCAAACAGGAUUAGAUACCCCAGUAGUC
Molecule: ribosomal RNA, 440 nt
Filed under: uncultured bacterium
Lineage: Bacteria
Description: partial 16S ribosomal RNA
Rfam family: Bacterial small subunit ribosomal RNA
Source: RNAcentral